Molecule: transfer RNA, 69 nt
Filed under: Ictidomys tridecemlineatus (thirteen-lined ground squirrel)
Lineage: Eukaryota; Metazoa; Chordata; Mammalia; Rodentia; Sciuridae
Description: Spermophilus tridecemlineatus (thirteen-lined ground squirrel) tRNA
Rfam family: tRNA
About the family: Transfer RNA (tRNA) molecules are approximately 80 nucleotides in length.
Source: Rfam by way of RNAcentral
GGGGCUGUAGCUCAGUGGUAGAGCACUUGCCUAACACGUGUGAGGUACUGGGUUCAAUCCUCAGCACCA